Molecule: ribosomal RNA, 373 nt
Filed under: uncultured Legionella sp.
Lineage: Bacteria; Pseudomonadati; Pseudomonadota; Gammaproteobacteria; Legionellales; Legionellaceae
Description: bacterial SSU rRNA
Rfam family: Bacterial small subunit ribosomal RNA
Source: RNAcentral
GAUAGGUUAAGAGCUGAUUAACUGGACGUUACCCACAGAAGAAGCACCGGCUAACUCCGUGCCAGCAGCCGCGGUAAUACGGAGGGUGCGAGCGUUAAUCGGAAUUACUGGGCGUAAAGGGUGCGUAGGUGGUUGAUUAAGUUAUCUGUGAAAUUCCUGGGCUUAACCUGGGACGGUCAGAUAAUACUGGUUGACUCGAGUAUGGGAGAGGGUAGUGGAAUUUCCGGUGUAGCGGUGAAAUGCGUAGAGAUCGGAAGGAACACCAGUGGCGAAGGCGGCUACCUGGCCUAAUACUGACACUGAGGCACGAAAGCGUGGGGAGCAAACAGGAUUACUGACACUGAGGCACGAAAGCGUGGGGAGCAAACAGGAU